GGCGUUAAGUUGCAGGGUAUAGACCCGAAACCCGGUGAUCUAGCCAUGGGCAGGUUGAAGGUUGGGUAACACUAACUGGAGGACCGAACCGACUAAUGUUGAAAAAUUAGCGGAUGACCUGUGGCUGGGGGUGAAAGGCCAAUCAAACCGGGAGAUAGCUGGUUCUCCCCGAAAGCUAUUUAGGUAGCGCCUCGUGAAUUCAUCUCCGGGGGUAGAGCACUGUUUCGGCUAGGGGGCCAUCCCGGCUUACCAACCCGAUGCAAACUGCGAAUACCGGAGAAUGUUAUCACGGGAGACACACGGCGGGUGCUAACGUCCGUCGUGAAGAGGGAAACAACCCAGACCGCCAGCUAAGGUCCCAAAGUCAUGGUUAAGUGGGAAACGAUGUGGGAAGGCCCAGACAGCCAGGAUGUUGGCUUAGAAGCAGCCAUCAUUUAAAGAAAGCGUAAUAGCUCACUGGUCGAGUCGGCCUGCGCGGAAGAUGUAACGGGGCUAAACCAUGCACCGAAGCUGCGGCAGCGACGCUUAUGCGUUGUUGGGUAGGGGAGCGUUCUGUAAGCCUGUGAAGGUGGCCUGUGAGGGUUGCUGGAGGUAUCAGAAGUGCGAAUGCUGACAUAAGUAACGAUAAAGCGGGUGAAAAGCCCGCUCGCCGGAAGACCAAGGGUUCCUGUCCAACGUUAAUCGGGGCAGGGUGAGUCGACCCCUAAGGCGAGGCCGAAAGGCGUAGUCGAUGGGAAACGGGUUAAUAUUCCCGUACUUGGUGUUACUGCGAAGGGGGGACGGAGAAGGCUAUGUUGGCCGGGCGACGGUUGUCCCGGUUUAAGCGUGUAGGUGUGUGUUCCAGGUAAAUCCGGUUCACUUUAACACUGAGGCGUGACGACGAGGCACUACGGUGCUGAAGCAACAAAUGCCCUGCUUCCAGGAAAAGCCUCUAAGCAUCAGGUAACAUCAAAUCGUACCCCAAACCGACACAGGUGGUCAGGUAGAGAAUACCAAGGCGCUUGAGAGAACUCGGGUGAAGGAACUAGGCAAAAUGGUGCCGUAACUUCGGGAGAAGGCACGCUGACACGUAGGUGAAGUGAUUUACUCACGGAGCUGAAGUCAGUCGAAGAUACCAGCUGGCUGCAACUGUUUAUUAAAAACACAGCACUGUGCAAACACGAAAGUGGACGUAUACGGUGUGACGCCUGCCCGGUGCCGGAAGGUUAAUUGAUGGGGUCAGCGCAAGCGAAGCUCCUGAUCGAAGCCCCGGUAAACGGCGGCCGUAACUAUAACGGUCCUAAGGUAGCGAAAUUCCUUGUCGGGUAAGUUCCGACCUGCACGAAUGGCGUAAUGAUGGCCAGGCUGUCUCCACCCGAGACUCAGUGAAAUUGAACUCGCUGUGAAGAUGCAGUGUACCCGCGGCAAGACGGAAAGACCCCGUGAACCUUUACUAUAGCUUGACACUGAACA
Molecule: ribosomal RNA, 1452 nt
Filed under: Salmonella enterica subsp. enterica serovar Kintambo
Lineage: Bacteria; Pseudomonadati; Pseudomonadota; Gammaproteobacteria; Enterobacterales; Enterobacteriaceae
Description: bacterial LSU rRNA
Rfam family: Bacterial large subunit ribosomal RNA
Source: RNAcentral